This 260-nucleotide unclassified non-coding RNA is filed under the name Hevea brasiliensis (rubber tree). Lineage: Eukaryota; Viridiplantae; Streptophyta; Magnoliopsida; Malpighiales; Euphorbiaceae. The record is from RNAcentral.
AUUUGCAAUAUGUUGACAAUGUUGAAAAGAAAUUCGGAAAGAGACAACAGGUCAUACGUACAAGACAUAUAACUGUAAGCAACUUGUGUAAUAGAACUGUAAGAUACAUCAAUUCUAUUCACAGAGAGUAUUUCAAGUCAAGCACUGAAAUGAACCCGCUUUUUGUCAAUGGGCUACGUUACCUAACAAGCUGUUUGCAGAAGGUGAGCUCUGUUCACUUAACCAAGGAUCUUGCACAGAAACCGGGGUCCUUCACUUCC